CCUACGGGAGGCAGCAGUGGGGAAUAUUGCUCAAUGGGGGAAACCCUGAUGCAGCGACGCCGCGUGAGUGAAGAAGUAACUCGUUAUGUAAAGCUCUAUCAGCAGGGGAGAAAAUGACGGUACGUGAGUAAGAAGCCCCGGCUAACUACGUGACAGCAGCCGCGGUAAUACGUAGGGGGCAGGCGUUAUCCGGAUUUACUGGGUGUAAAGGGGGCGUAGUCGGCAGUGCAAGUCUGGAGGGAAAGGCGGGGGCUCAACCCCCGGACUGCUGUGGAAACUGUACGGCUGGAGUGUAGGAGAGGUAAGCGGAAUUCGUAGUGUAGCGGUGAAAUGCGUAGAUAUUACGCGGAACACCAGUGGCGAAGGCAGCUUACCGGACUGUAACUGACGUUGAGGCUCGAAAGCGUGGGGAGCAAACAGGAUUAGAUACCCUAGUAGUC
This 440-nucleotide ribosomal RNA is filed under the name uncultured bacterium. RNAcentral's name for it is "partial 16S ribosomal RNA". It matches the Rfam family "Bacterial small subunit ribosomal RNA", at positions 338 to 795 of the family's 1533-position model. The record is from RNAcentral.